UGGCUCAGAACGAACGCUGGCGGCGUGCUUAACACAUGCAAGUCGAGCAGAAAGGCCCUUCGGGGUACUCGAGCGGCGAACGGGUGAGUAACACGUGAGCAACCUGCCCCUAGCAAUGGGAUAACCCCGGGAAACCGGGGCUAAUACCGGAUACGACCUCGGUGGGCAUCAUCCGAGGUGGAAAGGGUUACUGGAUAGGGACGGGCCCGCGGCCUAUCAGCUAGUGGGGGGGUAACGUCCCACCAAGGCGAGGGAACGUAGCCGGCCUGAGAGGGCGACAGGCCACAUUGGGA
This 293-nucleotide ribosomal RNA is filed under the name uncultured bacterium. RNAcentral describes it as "partial 16S ribosomal RNA". It matches the Rfam family "Bacterial small subunit ribosomal RNA", at positions 20 to 318 of the family's 1533-position model. The record is from RNAcentral.